GCUUAUCCCUAAACACAGAUAUUUUUUACAAUAUAUCCGCCAGAGGACUACAAGCGAAAAGCUAGAAACUCCAAGGACUUGGCGGUGCUUCAAACCAACCUAGAGGAGCCUGUCCUAUAAUCGAUACUCCCCGUUCUACCUUACCCCCCUUAGACAACCAGCCUAUAUACCGCCGUCGAAAGCCUACCCUAUGAAGGAAACAAAGUAGGCAAAAUAGUAACUAGCUAACACGUCAGGUCAAGGUGUAGCACAUGGGGGGGAAAGAGAUGGGCUACAUUUUCAAAACGAACAUACGAAUAAUAUUUUGAAAUAUAUAUUUGAAGGUGGAUUUAGUAGUAAAGUAGACAAGAGAGCCUAUCUUGAAACCUGCUCUGAAGCGCGC
Molecule: ribosomal RNA, 382 nt
Filed under: Prasinohaema semoni (Semon's green tree skink)
Lineage: Eukaryota; Metazoa; Chordata; Lepidosauria; Squamata; Scincidae
Description: partial small subunit ribosomal RNA
Rfam family: Bacterial small subunit ribosomal RNA
Source: RNAcentral